Molecule: ribosomal RNA, 1309 nt
Filed under: uncultured bacterium
Lineage: Bacteria
Description: bacterial SSU rRNA
Rfam family: Bacterial small subunit ribosomal RNA
Source: RNAcentral
AGUGGCGGACGGGUGAGUAACACGUGAGCAAUCUGCCUUUCAGAGGGGGAUACCGAUUGGAAACGAUCGUUAAUACCGCAUAACAUAAUUGAACCGCAUGAUUUGAUUAUCAAAGAUUUAUCGCUGAAAGAUGAGCUCGCGUCUGAUUAGCUAGUUGGUAAGGUAACGGCUUACCAAGGCGACGAUCAGUAGCCGGACUGAGAGGUUGAUCGGCCACAUUGGGACUGAGACACGGCCCAGACUCCUACGGGAGGCAGCAGUGGGGAAUAUUGCACAAUGGAGGAAACUCUGAUGCAGCGAUGCCGCGUGAGGGAAGAAGGUUUUAGGAUUGUAAACCUCUGUCUUCAGGGACGAAAAAAGACGGUACCUGAGGAGGAAGCUCCGGCUAACUACGUGCCAGCAGCCGCGGUAAUACGUAGGGAGCGAGCGUUGUCCGGAAUUACUGGGUGUAAAGGGAGCGUAGGCGGGAUCGCAAGUCAGAUGUGAAAACUAUGGGCUUAACCCAUAAACUGCAUUUGAAACUGUGGUUCUUGAGUGAAGUAGAGGUAAGCGGAAUUCCUAGUGUAGCGGUGAAAUGCGUAGAUAUUAGGAGGAACAUCAGUGGCGAAGGCGGCUUACUGGGCUUUAACUGACGCUGAGGCUCGAAAGCGUGGGGAGCAAACAGGAUUAGAUACCCUGGUAGUCCACGCCGUAAACGAUGAUUACUAGGUGUGGGGGGACUGACCCCUUCCGUGCCGCAGCAAACGCAAUAAGUAAUCCACCUGGGGAGUACGACCGCAAGGUUGAAACUCAAAGGAAUUGACGGGGGCCCGCACAAGCAGUGGAGUAUGUGGAUUAAUUCGAAGCAACGCGAAGAACCUUACCAGGUCUUGACAUCGUAUGCAUAGCUCAGAGAUGAGUGAAAUCUCUUCGGAGACAUAUAGACAGGUGGUGCAUGGUUGUCGUCAGCUCGUGUCGUGAGAUGUUGGGUUAAGUCCCGCAACGAGCGCAACCCUUACUGUUAGUUGCUACGCAAGAGCACUCUAGCAGGACUGCCGUUGACAAAACGGAGGAAGGUGGGGAUGACGUCAAAUCAUCAUGCCCCUUAUGACCUGGGCCUCACACGUACUACAAUGGCUGUCAACAGAGGGAAGCAAAGCCGCGAGGUGGAGCGAACCCCUAAAAGCAGUCUUAGUUCGGAUUGUAGGCUGCAACCCGCCUACAUGAAGUCGGAAUUGCUAGUAAUCGCAGAUCAGCAUGCUGCGGUGAAUACGUUCCCGGGCCUUGUACACACCGCCCGUCACGCCAUGGGAGUCGGUAACACCCGAAG